AUGUUGUAUAGGUACUAUAACCAGAGAUUCGGCGCAAACAGACCACAAAAUCUAGACCUUACGGACGAUACGCAAGAAGGUGUGGAUUAGCAUACUUUGAUAGCCCAGUACCUUUGCAACCUGUAACCAAGACACUAUGUGACGACCCCCUUUGUGUUAGCUGCUUGUGAAGUUUAUGUGCGAUACUAUGUGGACAGAGGCAUGUUAUUUAGCUAAAUAAAACGGUUCAUGGACACUCACGUACUAUCUAGUUAAAUAUGUAACAGUAAUGUGUAAUAGCGACACGUAAAACGCUGAUGUAUCAUAUUGUUUAAUUAAUGUUUAAUAGAGCAUCUUUAUAACAA
This is a long non-coding RNA of Helianthus annuus (common sunflower), 344 nucleotides long. RefSeq lists it as uncharacterized. The record is from RefSeq and is a predicted model, not a curated record. NCBI's taxonomy places the organism in Eukaryota, Viridiplantae, Streptophyta, Magnoliopsida, Asterales, Asteraceae. The transcript has 3 exons.